CUCCCCUCCACCGCUCUUUCUCUCUCCCCAAGCAGUGAGGCUCGGACAGUGCUCGGCUCCAGCGCUUUAUUUUAAGAUGAUCGGCCAAGGUCUUUGCAGAUAGAUUUUAUCUGAAGUUAAAUAGCAGGCGCUCGCCGCUCCCUCGCCAAUAAGUCAUUUUUAAUAGAGACAAAUCGCCCUGGACGCCCCGGAGCGCCGGUGCCGCCGCUCCUGCCCGCGCCCCCCGCCGAAGGCGAGCGGGCAGCCCGGGCAGCUCCCUCCUCCCGUAAGUGUCCUGCUCGGCGGAGCCGGAGCGCGGCCGUGUGCGGAGAAGGGGAGGCGAGGGGGGGGAGAGCCUGCCAGCCGCCCCGCCGCCCCGACAGUGCCUGCGCCGGAUGCCCAGCGGCCGCGGGACACCUCGGUGCGGAGCGCGGCGAGGAGAUGCGCAGGGUCGGCGGGCUGCACCGCGGCGCUCAGCCCCUCUAGGCUCGCCCAUGGAGCGCCCCGCGGAGCCCCGGCCGCCGUCGGACCCCCCACGCCGCUGGUGAGAGCUCUGCUGGUUCUGUAAAGUGGAUGUCAGGUGGAUCUAUGUUCUGGAAGGAACAAAGAGGCAGCGAAGGCAGCGCGGGGGAAGUUUGAGCGGCGAGGAUGCAGGCUGUGUACUGGUACGCGGUCCUUCUGCUGCAGCCCACCCUUUACCUGAGAAAAAGUGAACUGUUCAGUGUAGGAAGAGGAAACUUGCUUUCUUGGAUCUACUGAAAAUCUACUGGAAGGAACAAGCCAAUUCUGAAGACUAUUGUUGAGGAGAUAAAUUUCCCAUCACUCUAGUCCAAAACUGUAUUACACAAAGACUCUUUGCAAACUGAAUAUCUUUAUAUGUGUGUUUUUUCACCUGUAAUACCACACUGAGACUUACUAAUUUCUUUUUC
Tyto alba (common barn owl) is the source of this 908-nucleotide long non-coding RNA. RefSeq lists it as uncharacterized. The transcript has 3 exons. NCBI's taxonomy places the organism in Eukaryota, Metazoa, Chordata, Aves, Strigiformes, Tytonidae. The record is from RefSeq and is a predicted model, not a curated record.